Molecule: ribosomal RNA, 301 nt
Filed under: uncultured bacterium
Lineage: Bacteria
Description: partial 16S ribosomal RNA
Rfam family: Bacterial small subunit ribosomal RNA
Source: RNAcentral
CAGUCGCCGCGGUAAAACGAAGGGUGCAAGCGUUAAUCGGAAUUACUGGGCGUAAAGCGUGCGUAGGCGGUGAGUUAAGUCUGCUGUGAAAUCCCCGGGCUCAACCUGGGAAUGGCAGUGGAUACUGGCUCGCUAGAGUGUGUCAGAGGAUGGUGGAAUUCCCGGUGUAGCGGUGAAAUGCGUAGAGAUCGGGAGGAACAUCAGUGGCGAAGGCGGCCAUCUGGGACAACACUGACGCUGAGGCACGAAAGCGUGGGGAGCAAACAGGAUUAGAUACCCGAGUAGUCCCUGUCUCUUAUAA